CCUACGGGAGACUGCAGUGGGGAAUAUUGGGCAAUGGAGGAAACUCUGACCCAGCAACGCCGCGUGAAUGAUGAAGGCCUUCGGAUUGUAAAGUUCUUUUCUAAGGGAAGAAGAAAGUGACGGUACCGUAGGAAUAAGCCUCGGCUAACUACGAGCCAGCAGCCGCGGUCAUACGGAGGAGGCAAGCGUUAUCCGGAAUGACUGGGCGUAAAGGGUGCGUAGGGGGUUCAGCAAGUUAGUAGCGUAAUUCCGGAGCUCAACUUCGGCACUACCACUGAAACUGUUGGACUUGAGUGCAGGAGGGGUAACUGGAAUUUCUAGUGUAGCGGUGGAAUGCGUAGAUAUUAGGAAGAACCCCGGUGGCGAAGGCGGGUUGCUGGACUGUAACUGACGCUGAGGCACGAAAGCGUGGGGAGCAAACAGGAUUAGAUACCCGGGUAGUC
RNAcentral lists this ribosomal RNA (443 nucleotides) under uncultured bacterium. RNAcentral describes it as "partial 16S ribosomal RNA". It matches the Rfam family "Bacterial small subunit ribosomal RNA", at positions 338 to 795 of the family's 1533-position model. The record is from RNAcentral.